RNAcentral lists this long non-coding RNA (284 nucleotides) under Homo sapiens (human). RNAcentral's name for it is "non-protein coding lnc-CDYL-19:1". Lineage: Eukaryota; Metazoa; Chordata; Mammalia; Primates; Hominidae. The record is from RNAcentral.
GCACACAUUCCCCACCCCACAUCAAACUAUCAAAACUGACCAUCAAGUGCUGCCCAGAGUGUCAGGUAUCAAUGUGCCAAGGUCCAGCUCCUCUAGCAUUUCCCAGUGGCUCAACUGCAGGGAUUCCUUGGAUGCAACUCAGUUUUACGUUAGAUCUCUUUCACUGUCUCAGUCAUAAUUUUCCAAAGGCAGUUUCAUAACUAAUUUACAAAGCUCCCCCGGCCUGUCCCGGUCUUCAUAAGGAUGUAACCAAAUCCAGGUUGAAAACCAAACGUUGAGAGACA